UUUGUCCCUUCGUGCCAUACAAAAGAAAGACAUUUUCUCAGGCUUUCCUUUUUGGCCUUUAAAUUCUCAGUUCACAGAGAGGAAAACAAUGUAUCUCCGCUAUUUAUUUAUUUAUUUAUUUAUUCAUUUAUUUAUUUCUUCUUUCACGUGGCAAAGGAUGCGCUCAGCCCUUUACCGGUCGGUAGAACGACAAACGGGCGCCGCCCGCAAGGAAGGCCUGACCCGGCAAAGCGAGAAACAGCUGUGUGUUUUCAGUCAUUUUUGCAGUCCUGGGCGUGCGAUUCUCAGUAAUAACGACUCUUCCGGCGGUCUGCCUGGGAGGGAAUGGAUGUGAAUAGACAAUAUCUGACAAGAAACGCAAGACUCCAAGUCUGAUGAAGCUAUAAAAGAUUUCAGAUGUACAAAAACCUGGCUUUGCCACGUCCGGCUCCUCUUUGCAUUGUUAGUAAACUGCAAACAACUCCA
Molecule: long non-coding RNA, 465 nt
Organism: Leopardus geoffroyi (Geoffroy's cat)
Lineage: Eukaryota; Metazoa; Chordata; Mammalia; Carnivora; Felidae
Exons: 2
Source: RefSeq, a predicted model, not a curated record